AUGGAAUGGAAGCAUAAGGCUCUUAUAGUUGCUACUAGUGGCACAGUGUAUAAUGUAGUUUGCUGUUAUCUGGGAGCUAUUCACAUCAGGUCUAUUUUACCAAAAUUCAGGUGGGAAGUCCGAGAGCAUGAAGCCUUCUCCUUGCGUUAUUACAUGACCGGGCUCUGCACAUGGGGGAGUCAUGGAUGCUGCCUCGGAACAUUUUUAUUUGAAAAGCAUGAACACCACUGUGGGGGCCUCAACUCAGGACCUCCUUGGAUCCCAGUUAAUGUCCACAUUAGCAGAACAAUGUACACAAUGUUUCUGAAAAAAUCUCCAGAACACAGUCAUAACAUUGCAGUAGGUAAUAUACAAUAAGAUGAAGAAAGGGUUUGGAAUUUAAAUAUACAGCCUUGGUUAGUUUUCUUGUUGCUGAGAUGAAAUGCCCAGAGUUAGAGGAGGAAGGGUGUGCUUGGCUCACCUUUUGUACGAUUUCGUUUUGGACUUGGCUGGUUCCAAGGCAGGGUGGCGGGGCAGAAGGGCCUUGCAGAGGAGUGGCAGGCUGAAAGCAAGAAAACAGCAAGCAGCAAGCCACAAGCAGCAACCUUCUUUCUGUCCCUUGUAUUCUACCCAGGCCCUCACCCUUAGGGCGGGUGGCACUCGCACCCAGGGUGGGGCAGUCUUAAUCCUAGAAUUACACCAUGAAUCAAACCCAGUAUCACGUCCUUGAUCCAAGCAUCACACCCCACCCCCACAUUCCCCUAAAAAGCUCCACCUAUACUCACAUGACACUUUAGAAGAACAUCUAGAUACAAGCCAUAACAAACAGAAUGUAUUUCCACCUUCUUAUGGUCUUGUGCUCACCUGAAAGACUGUAUCAAUACUUAUCACCUGAG
Molecule: long non-coding RNA, 875 nt
Filed under: Chinchilla lanigera (long-tailed chinchilla)
Lineage: Eukaryota; Metazoa; Chordata; Mammalia; Rodentia; Chinchillidae
Description: lncRNA (ENSCLAG00000024256.1)
Source: RNAcentral